Molecule: ribosomal RNA, 245 nt
Filed under: uncultured Actinomycetes bacterium
Lineage: Bacteria; Bacillati; Actinomycetota; Actinomycetes
Description: uncultured actinobacterium partial 16S ribosomal RNA
Rfam family: Bacterial small subunit ribosomal RNA
Source: RNAcentral
GACGAACGCUGGCGGCGUGCUUAACACAUGCAAGUCGAACGGUGAAGCCUCUUCGGAGGCUGAUCAGUGGCGAACGGGUGAGUAACACGUGGGCAACCUGCCCCUAGCUCUGGGAUAACCCCGGGAAACCGGGGCUAAUACCGGAUACGACCUCUGAGGGCAUCCUCGGAGGUGGAAAGUUUCUCGGCUAGGGAUGGGCCCGCGGCCUAUCAGCUUGUUGGUGGGGUAACGGCCUACCAAGGCGA